AAUAUUGGACAAUGGGCGAAAGCCUGAUCCAGCAAUGCCGCGUGAGUGAUGAAGGCCUUAGGGUUGUAAAGCUCUUUUACCUGGGAUGAUAAUGACAGUACCGGGAGAAUAAGCCCCGGCUAACUCCGUGCCAGCAGCCGCGGUAAUACGGAGGGGGCUAGCGUUGUUCGGAAUUACUGGGCGUAAAGCGCGCGUAGGCGGCUUUGCAAGUCAGGGGUGAAAGCCCGAGGCUCAACCUCGGAACUGCCUUUGAGACUGCAAGGCUCGAGACCGGGAGAGGAGAGUGGAAUUCCCAGUGUAGAGGUGAAAUUCGUAGAUAUUGGGAAGAACACCAGUGGCGAAGGCGGCUCUCUGGCCCGGACCUGACGCUGAGGCGCGAAAGCGUGGGGAGCAAAC
RNAcentral lists this ribosomal RNA (396 nucleotides) under uncultured bacterium. Its description in RNAcentral is "bacterial SSU rRNA". It matches the Rfam family "Bacterial small subunit ribosomal RNA", at positions 360 to 773 of the family's 1533-position model. The record is from RNAcentral.